Molecule: non-coding RNA, 1136 nt
Organism: Dermacentor albipictus
Lineage: Eukaryota; Metazoa; Arthropoda; Arachnida; Ixodida; Ixodidae
Source: RefSeq, a predicted model, not a curated record
UCUUGUGCUUCGUACGAGACCCAUGCAGACUGGAUAGCCUCAAGAAAGUUAAAGGAAUAGUAUUAUUCACCAAACGACAGGGGCUGUUUGGACAAGGAUCUUUCUUCAGUUACUGGGUCACCUUAGGAAGCCUCAAGGGAACGUCGCUUGUGUGUCUAGGCUGGAAGUGGUAGGUGGUGCUUGCAUCCCUGAAGAUUUUGCAAAAAAUACAUUGGAAAGGCCCGAAGUUUGGAGUGGAGCCUCAGAUUCUAGCACAUGAACUGGCAGUGGUGACGAGGAAAGUGGCUGGAAAAGCGGACUCGGAAGAACGUGAAAGGUGCCUUAUUGAAGCUGCCGUUUGAUGUUUGGCGCGGCUGUGCACUAUACCUCUGGGAACGACCCACGCAAGAGGCUGCGUUUCUCCCGGAAAGUUCGCCUUCGUGCAUAGCGUUCGCCGCCAGCGUUUCCCGCCCAGGAUCUGCUGCGGCCUGAGCAGUCUCCUGGACCCGCCAUGCCACUCGGCGCUUGCCAGGCGAGUCCAAGCUUGGCAGUGCGGCUUCCCUAUCAUCGUGUGCGGGUCUGGCAAUCCGAGGCAACUUCGCUUGGCCAUCCCUCCGUCAAGUGGCUCUAAUCCAAACCGAUUUUGGGCCAGCCGCCCAUAGAACUGAUUGCGCCGUUUCCGGAGUAAAAUCGAGUUGAACGAGAUCAUCGCAUCUCCCGACGAACCCAAGAGAAAACCGUCGGCAUUUACGACGCCCAAUGUACAGCUUCAUACGGACAUAAAAGAAAGCCAAGUAGAUCCAACUGCAUAAUGACUACGUGCCUGACCGGCAAGACGCGGAUACCUUCCCCACAGGACCCACACGUGACCCACGUGGCAGUGGAUGGCGCCGUCUCCAGGAACGGAAGAAUCAACGCCACCCUACACAAGUGGUUGUGUAGCGGCCCGUUCACCACCGUCGCAAUGCAUGAAGCGGCGCGCGGAACACCGAGUCUAUUUCGGGCAGCGCGUGCUUACGUAGCGAACUGACAGUGUCCCGCAGUUCACAGAUUGCCUGAAUACAUACACCAAAGGUGGACGGUUUCCUCAAAGUCGACGCAAAACAUUACUUGGACCCGUUCCAUGUUCAGGGCCGACUCACAAUAAGUCUUAUAUG